Molecule: transfer RNA, 106 nt
Filed under: Hypoxylon rubiginosum
Lineage: Eukaryota; Fungi; Ascomycota; Sordariomycetes; Xylariales; Hypoxylaceae
Description: tRNA-Ser
Rfam family: tRNA
About the family: Transfer RNA (tRNA) molecules are approximately 80 nucleotides in length. Their secondary structure includes four short double-helical elements and three loops (D, anti-codon, and T loops). Further hydrogen bonds mediate the characteristic L-shaped molecular structure. tRNAs have two regions of fundamental functional importance: the anti-codon, which is responsible for specific mRNA codon recognition, and the 3' end, to which the tRNAs corresponding amino acid is attached (by aminoacyl-tRNA synthetases). tRNAs cope with the degeneracy of the genetic code in two manners: having more than one tRNA (with a specific anti-codon) for a particular amino acid; and 'wobble' base-pairing, i.e. permitting non-standard base-pairing at the 3rd anti-codon position.
Source: RNAcentral
GACACGAUGGCGGAGUGGUCUAACGCGUGAGACUUGAACGUAAAUCAUUCGUUCAGGGGGUUAUCUCAUAUCUUCGGAUGCGCAGGUUCGAAUCCUGCUCGUGUCG